UUACCCUCAACUGUUAGCAGUUGCGAGGGUAAUCAUGUCCGCAUAUAUACCGCGCGCUUCCCGGCACACAACGCGGAAGAUUAAACUCUGCUCUUGUGGUCCACAGUUUGGUGACAUCAGCUAAUGCAGACCUAUGGGGCACAAAGGGGUGAGUCCAAUUUCAUAAUUCAUAUAAUAGUCUAAUUAAAAGGAAGUAAAGUUUGAAAGUGACCUUGAGCCAUUUCAUGCACAUGAUUGUAUAAUUAUAUUAUGUUUGUUCUUUUAUAUAAGUAAAGCCAAUUACUUUUACCUUUCUCUUGUCUCCUGUGGAUGCUGACACACAUCCCCACCUCCUUAUCGAAUCUGGACCACUGUGUAGCAGUUUAUAACCUGCAAGUCCUCAGUUGCACAUUGCUGCAGCAUCACUGGUUAGUGUAUAUUUUACCUUCUAUUUGUCCCCGGCAAUAAAAGCUUUCUCAUAUGUUCUGUGACUUAUAGAGACUAGUGAUUUUGAAAAUGGUGGUGCUAUAGAAGAACAAGAGGAAUUCAACUUGGAAGCUGACAUUCAACUCGACCUCGAAUCAGAGGAGAUCUUCACAGCGUAGCAUGAAUUCUUCAGAGUAAAGACUGCUUUACUGGAAAACUUUGGACAGCUUGAUAAUACAUUUGAAUCUGAUUGAGGUACGGAAUUUGUCCCUUUACUGUACAAUAUACUUGAAAAUUUGAAUAAAUGCCUCACAGUGAACAUAAAGUUGGUUAGAAAAUUGUAUGAUAGAUAUGGUGCAGAACCGACCGAAAUGCAGUUCAGAUACAGAGCCUAAAAAAAUGAGAACCGAAAAUACUCCAUUACUCUAUAAUUUGUGUUAUGAUGGAAACCAGAGUUCUUCAAAUGGUCUGUUACAUUAUGAUCCGUACACAACUCUGAACCCAUGUGUAACUGAAGCGAUCAACCGGCUGAAUGAAAGUUUAAUUCCAUCACACCAGGUUGUUAGUCAAGAGAGCACUAUUCAGAGUCCAAAUUACAACAUAACAAACACACCAGUGAUGCCAUACGACAUAUUUUCUAAAUUAAAUCAAUGUCUGUUAGCGUUACAAUUAACUUAAAUAAACACGGUCAUUUCGUACAAUUAAACAAUGAUGCAGUCAACCAGUUGAAUGAAAAUAUAAGAUCGUCAGAUCAGAGCAAUACUCAAUGAUAAUCCCAGCCGAAAUUCCAGCCAAACUGUAUCAAGAACCCCAGUGACAUCGUACGACAUAUUUUUCAAAUUAAAUCAAUGUCUGUUAGUUACAAAAUAACCUAAAUGAACAAAGACAAUUUAUGCAGAUACAUCCUUGUUUAAUAGAUGCAGUGAAUCAACUCAAUGAAAAUAUGGCAUUAUCUCCUGAUCACAAUAUCAUCUCAACUCCAGAAAUCGCUCAGGAACCUAGACCGUUAUCGUCCCAUGAUAUGUUAUACGAACUUAAUCAAAGUCUUAUGAGGAUAAAUGACAGUCUGGUUAACUUAAUCGAAUCCCCUGCCAAUAUUCCACAAAAUUCGGGAAACGAUAAUGAGUCCAACUGUCCAAUGGAAAACAUGGAAUUGCCUGAUAUCCAAGAUGUGCACGAUGGUGAUGGGUUAGAUCCUAAUAUUAGAAUAAUUAAGCAUGAAAGAUUCAGCAACACUGAGAUUAGGAGGAGAGUGAAUUUUUCUUUGAUCGCUAAUGUCAACAGCUUUUGCAGAUUUUUAUAAUUAUGUUUUAGAGAUUUUAAACAGCGGGAUUGAAAUCGCUAAUAAUUUAAUUACUUCUGAGGAUGUCGUCACCUUUUUAAAUCAGGUGAUACGAUCAAUGUUUCAUCACACGUUCAACUAGACAAUGGUGUCAUUGAUUUGCAUUCUUUUCUGACAAUGUUUGUAAAUGCAAUUUAGAGUAAACGCAAAAUUUUUAAGGAUAAUACUCUUGAAAUAGUCAUACAAAUCGUUCGACCACCUCGGGGUGGUGCAAUUAGAAGGAAAACAGGCCAUACAGUGCAUCCGGAAAGUAUUCACAGCACUUCACUUUUUCCACAUUCGUUACGUUACAUCCUUUUUCCAAAAUGGAUUAAAUUCAUUAUUUUCCUCAAAAUUCUACAAACAAUACUCCAUAAUGACAACAUGAUAGAGGUUUGUUUGAAAUUUUAGCAAAUUUAUUAAAAAUAUAAAACAAAAAAAAGCACAUGUACAUAAGUAUUCACAGCCUUUUCCAUGACACUCAAAAUUGAGCUCAGGUGCAUCCUGUUUCCACUGAUCAUCCUUAAGAUGUUUAUACAACUUGAUUGGAGUCCAUCUGUGGUAAAUUCAGGUGACCAAAAACCUAAUGGUCACUCUGACAGAGCUCCAGCAUGUCUCUGUGGAGAGAGGAGAACCUUCCAGAAGAACAACCAUCUCUGCAGCACUAAACCAAUCAGGCCUGUAUGGUAGAGUGGCCAGACGGAAGCCACUCCUCAGUAAAAGGCACAUGAUUGCCCACCUGGAGUUUGGCAAAAGGCACCUGAAGGACUCUCAGACCAAGACAAAGAUUGAACUCUUUGGCCUGAAUGGCAAGUGUCAUGUCUGGAGGAAACCAGGCACCAGUCAUCACCUGGACAAUACCAUCCCUACAGUGAAGCAUGGUGAUGGCAGCAUCAUGUUGUGGGGAUGUUUUUCAGCGGCAGGAACUGGGAGACUAGUCAGGAUCGACGGAAAGAUAAAUGCAGCAAUGUACAGAGACAUCCUUGAUGAAAACCUGUUCCAGAGUGCUCUGUACCUCAGACUGGUGUGAAGGUUCAUCUUCCACCAGGACAAUGACCCUAAGCACACA
Long non-coding RNA from Ictalurus punctatus (channel catfish), 2795 nucleotides. RefSeq lists it as uncharacterized. The transcript has 2 exons. Lineage: Eukaryota; Metazoa; Chordata; Actinopteri; Siluriformes; Ictaluridae. The record is from RefSeq and is a predicted model, not a curated record.